This 1075-nucleotide ribosomal RNA is filed under the name Escherichia coli. Its description in RNAcentral is "partial 23S ribosomal RNA". It matches the Rfam family "Bacterial large subunit ribosomal RNA", at positions 120 to 1238 of the family's 2925-position model. The record is from RNAcentral. Lineage: Bacteria; Pseudomonadati; Pseudomonadota; Gammaproteobacteria; Enterobacterales; Enterobacteriaceae.
GGGGAAACCCAGUGUGUUUCGACACACUAUCAUUAACUGAAUCCAUAGGUUAAUGAGGCGAACCGGGGGAACUGAAACAUCUAAGUACCCCGAGGAAAAGAAAUCAACCGAGAUUCCCCCAGUAGCGGCGAGCGAACGGGGAGGAGCCCAGAGCCUGAAUCAGUGUGUGUGUUAGUGGAAGCGUCUGGAAAGGCGCGCGAUACAGGGUGACAGCCCCGUACACAAAAAUGCACAUAUUGUGAGCUCGAUGAGUAGGGCGGGACACGUGGUAUCCUGUCUGAAUAUGGGGGGACCAUCCUCCAAGGCUAAAUACUCCUGACUGACCGAUAGUGAACCAGUACCGUGAGGGAAAGGCGAAAAGAACCCCGGCGAGGGGAGUGAAAAAGAACCUGAAACCGUGUACGUACAAGCAGUGGGAGCCUCUUAAUGGGGUGACUGCGUACCUUUUGUAUAAUGGGUCAGCGACUUAUAUUCUGUAGCAAGGUUAACCGAAUAGGGGAGCCGAAGGGAAACCGAGUCUUAACUGGGCGUUAAGUUGCAGGGUAUAGACCCGAAACCCGGUGAUCUAGCCAUGGGCAGGUUGAAGGUUGGGUAACACUAACUGGAGGACCGAACCGACUAAUGUUGAAAAAUUAGCGGAUGACUUGUGGCUGGGGGUGAAAGGCCAAUCAAACCGGGAGAUAGCUGGUUCUCCCCGAAAGCUAUUUAGGUAGCGCCUCGUGAAUUCAUCUCCGGGGGUAGAGCACUGUUUCGGCAAGGGGGUCAUCCCGACUUACCAACCCGAUGCAAACUGCGAAUACCGGAGAAUGUUAUCACGGGAGACACACGGCGGGUGCUAACGUCCGUCGUGAAGAGGGAAACAACCCAGACCGCCAGCUAAGGUCCCAAAGUCAUGGUUAAGUGGGAAACGAUGUGGGAAGGCCCAGACAGCCAGGAUGUUGGCUUAGAAGCAGCCAUCAUUUAAAGAAAGCGUAAUAGCUCACUGGUCGAGUCGGCCUGCGCGGAAGAUGUAACGGGGCUAAACCAUGCACCGAAGCUGCGGCAGCGACACUAUGUGUUGUUGGGUAGGGGAGCG